CGGCGGACGGGUGAGUAACGCGUGGGUAACCUGCCUCAUACAGGGGGAUAACAGUUAGAAAUGACUGCUAAUACCGCAUAAGACCACAGCACCGCAUGGUGCGGGGUAAAAACUCCGGUGGUAUGAGAUGGACCCGCGUCUGAUUAGCUAGUUGGUAGGGUAACGGCCUACCAAGCCGACGAUCAGUAGCCGACCUGAGAGGGUGACCGGCCACAUUGGGACUGAGACACGGCCCAA
Molecule: ribosomal RNA, 237 nt
Filed under: uncultured bacterium
Lineage: Bacteria
Description: partial 16S ribosomal RNA
Rfam family: Bacterial small subunit ribosomal RNA
Source: RNAcentral